UACAGAGGGUGCGAGCGUUGUCCGGAAUCACUGGGCGUAAAGAGCGCGCAGGCGGUCGUUCAAGUCGAGUGUGAAAGCCCCCGGCUCAACUGGGGAGGGUCACUCGAUACUGAUCGACUUGAAGGCAGGAGAGGGAAGCGGAAUUCCCGGUGUAGUGGUGAAAUGCGUAGAUAUCGGGAGGAACACCAGUGGCGAAGGCGGCUUCCUGGCCUGCUCUUGACGCUGAGGCGCGAAAGCUAGGGUAGCAAACGGG
RNAcentral lists this ribosomal RNA (253 nucleotides) under uncultured bacterium. RNAcentral describes it as "partial 16S ribosomal RNA". It matches the Rfam family "Bacterial small subunit ribosomal RNA", at positions 524 to 776 of the family's 1533-position model. The record is from RNAcentral.